GUGUCAGCCGCCGCGGUAAUACGGAGGGAGCGAACGUUGUUCGGAUUUACUGGGUGUAAAGGGUGCGUAGGCGGCCCCGUGUGUCGGAGGUGAAAUCCAGCGGCUCAACCGCUGGCCUGCCCCCGAAACUGCAGGGCUUGAGUCCGUGAGAGGAAGGCGGAAUUCCUGGUGUAACGGUGAAAUGUGCAGAUAUCAGGAAGAACACCCGUAGCGAAGGCGGCCUUCUGGUGCGGUACUGACGCUGAGGCACGAAAGCUAGGGUAUCGAACGGGAUUAGAUACCCGCGUAGUCC
Molecule: ribosomal RNA, 292 nt
Filed under: uncultured bacterium
Lineage: Bacteria
Description: partial 16S ribosomal RNA
Rfam family: Bacterial small subunit ribosomal RNA
Source: RNAcentral